CUACGGGCUGCUCCAGUGGGGAAUAUUGCACAAUGGAGGAAACUCUGAUGCAGCAACGCCGCGUGGAGGAUGACACUUUUCGGAGCGUAAACUCCUUUUAUAUAGGAAGAUAAUGACGGUACUAUAUGAAUAAGCACCGGCUAACUCCGUGCCAGCAGCCGCGGUAAUACGGAGGGUGCAAGCGUUACUCGGAAUCACUGGGCGUAAAGAGCGUGUAGGCGGGUUAAUAAGUCAGAAGUGAAAUCCUAUGGCUCAACCAUAGAACUGCUUUUGAAACUGUUAACCUAGAGUGUGGGAGAGGUAGAUGGAAUUUCUGGUGUAGGGGUAAAAUCCGUAGAGAUCAGAAGGAAUACCGAUUGCGAAGGCGAUCUACUGGAACAUAACUGACGCUGAGACGCGAAAGCGUGGGGAGCAAACAGGAUUAGAUACCCCGGUAGUC
RNAcentral lists this ribosomal RNA (439 nucleotides) under uncultured bacterium. RNAcentral's name for it is "partial 16S ribosomal RNA". It matches the Rfam family "Bacterial small subunit ribosomal RNA", at positions 339 to 795 of the family's 1533-position model. The record is from RNAcentral.